AAAAACUGAAGAAAAAAACCUCCUUAAGAAUUACGUCAUUGGGGAAAAUGUAAUUGCAAAGCCAAUUGCUGAAAACAAGAAGAUGGUGUCCAGAAGGACUUUCUGGGGUUUCAUUAUUGCUUUCUCAGUUGCAUUAAUAGUUGAAGUACGCCCUCAGGGAGUUGUCCCAUCGUUUCACGCAACUCAACUCUUGCAAGCUCCAAAAGGACAUUAUGUGGAACUGAGUUUCACCUUGAAGACUUCAAAUCCAACACCAUGCAUUGAUGACAUGUACCUUGAGGUUCGCGAUGGAUACAACAAGUCUUCCAGUAUUCUUGGUGUAUUUUGUGGGAGAAACAUUUCUGGUGUUGUGCGAUCCAGUGGACAGAGCUUGUG
This is a non-coding RNA of Pocillopora verrucosa, 375 nucleotides long. Lineage: Eukaryota; Metazoa; Cnidaria; Anthozoa; Scleractinia; Pocilloporidae. The record is from RefSeq and is a predicted model, not a curated record.